This 155-nucleotide ribosomal RNA is filed under the name uncultured bacterium. RNAcentral describes it as "partial 16S ribosomal RNA". It matches the Rfam family "Bacterial small subunit ribosomal RNA", at positions 376 to 524 of the family's 1533-position model. The record is from RNAcentral.
UGCAAACCUGAUGGAGCAAUGCCGCGUGAAUGAAGAAGGUCUUCGGAUCGUAAAGUUCUGUUAUUAGAGAAGAACAAGUCGAGGAGUAACUGUCUCGACUUUGACGGUACCUAACCAGAAAGUCACGGCUAACUACGUGCCAGCAGCCGCGUAAU